This 66-nucleotide transfer RNA is filed under the name Selaginella moellendorffii. It matches the Rfam family "tRNA". From Rfam's summary of the family: Transfer RNA (tRNA) molecules are approximately 80 nucleotides in length. Their secondary structure includes four short double-helical elements and three loops (D, anti-codon, and T loops). Lineage: Eukaryota; Viridiplantae; Streptophyta; Lycopodiopsida; Selaginellales; Selaginellaceae. The record is from Rfam by way of RNAcentral.
GCUUUCAUAGCUCAUUUGGUCAGAGCACUCCUUUAGUAAACAUGAGUUCAACUCUCAGUGAAAGUA